RNAcentral lists this unclassified non-coding RNA (218 nucleotides) under Hevea brasiliensis (rubber tree). The record is from RNAcentral. Lineage: Eukaryota; Viridiplantae; Streptophyta; Magnoliopsida; Malpighiales; Euphorbiaceae.
AAUGAUUUAUUAACUUUGGGUGAUAAGGAUGCUCCUGAAAAAUAAGAGGGGGGAGAAGGGUGGGAAUGAGGCAGAGCUGAGAAUGUUUUUUUUUUUUUCUCUAGGUGAUGGCAAUCCCCUGAAAAAGAAGGAGGUGCAGGAGGAGGAGGAGGUGGGGGAGGGGAAGCUAGGGAUGAAAAGGCAGAAGGAGAUGACCCAUGAGGAGUAGGGGUUGGAGA